Molecule: unclassified non-coding RNA, 520 nt
Filed under: uncultured Glomus
Lineage: Eukaryota; Fungi; Glomeromycota; Glomeromycetes; Glomerales; Glomeraceae
Description: SSU rRNA
Rfam family: Eukaryotic small subunit ribosomal RNA
Source: RNAcentral
AGCAGCCGCGGUAAUUCCAGCUCCAAUAGCGUAUAUUAAAGUUGUUGCAGUUAAAAAGCUCGUAGUUGAAUUUCGGGAUCAAUUAAUCGGUCGUGCCUCUGGUACGCACUGGUUUUAUUGGUUUCUCCCUUCUGACGAACCAGGAUGUCAUUAAUUUGGUGUCUUGGAGAAUCAGGACUGUUACUUUGAAAAAUUAGAGUGUUUAAAGCAGGCUAACGCUUGAAUACAUUAGCAUGGAAUAAUGAAAUAGGACGUUUGAUCCUAUUUUGUUGGUUUCUAGGAUCGACGUAAUGAUUAAUAGGGAUAGUUGGGGGCAUUAGUAUUCAAUUGUCAGAGGUGAAAUUCUUGGAUUUAUUGAAGACUAACUACUGCGAAAGCAUUUGCCAAGGAUGUUUUCAUUAAUCAAGAACGAAAGUUAGGGGAUCGAAGACGAUCAGAUACCGUCGUAGUCUUAACCAUAAACUAUAGCCGACUAGGGAUCGGAUGAUGUUAAUUUUUUAAUGACUCAUUCGGCGCCUUA